RNAcentral lists this ribosomal RNA (482 nucleotides) under uncultured bacterium. Its description in RNAcentral is "partial 16S ribosomal RNA". It matches the Rfam family "Bacterial small subunit ribosomal RNA", at positions 30 to 507 of the family's 1533-position model. The record is from RNAcentral.
AUUGAACGCUGGCGGCAUGCUUUACACAUGCAAGUCGAACGGUAACAGGCCGCAAGGUGCUGACGAGUGGCGAACGGGGGAGUAAUGCAUCGGAACGUGCCCAGUCGUGGGGGAUAACUACUCGAAAGAGUAGCUAAUACCGCAUACGAUCUAUGGAUGAAAGCGGGGGACCGUAAGGCCUCGCGCGAUUGGAGCGGCCGAUGUCAGAUUAGGUAGUUGGUGGGGUAAAGGCCCACCAAGCCAACGAUCUGUAGCUGGUCUGAGAGGACGACCAGCCACACUGGGACUGAGACACGGCCCAGACUCCUACGGGAGGCAGCAGUGGGGAAUUUUGGACAAUGGGCGCAAGCCUGAUCCAGCAAUGCCGCGUGCAGGAAGAAGGCCUUCGGGUUGUAAACUGCUUUUGUACGGAACGAAACGGCUCUGGUUAAUACCCGGGGCUAAUGACGGUACCGUAAGAAUAAGCACCGGCUAACUACGUG